AACAUCCUACAAAACAGCCACAUUAGUUUACAAGUCAAGUAAGAUAAUCCCAAAUGUGAAACAAUUCCUUUAAUCAUUAACUUCUUAACCUGAAAAGCCAAAAACAACUUCAAAUGUAAGUAAUAAGACCACUAGGACUAGCCUAGGGUCCAAAAGAAGGAAAAAUCCUAAAACAGCAACCAAUUCAUGAUCAAAGUCAAGCUAUUUCAACAACAAAGGGAUCCCAAUUGGUCCCAUAUCCAAAAUAUGUACACAUCUCAAUCUAUGCAACAUGUAAGGCAAAGUGAGCAAUGUUAAACCACAUAUGAGCAACCAGCAAGAUCACAUCACAAAA
RNAcentral lists this long non-coding RNA (334 nucleotides) under Lathyrus oleraceus (garden pea). RNAcentral's name for it is "Pisum sativum (pea) long non-coding RNA (PSAT_LNC009722)". The record is from RNAcentral. Lineage: Eukaryota; Viridiplantae; Streptophyta; Magnoliopsida; Fabales; Fabaceae.